UGUCCAGGGAUGGGAAUCGAACCCACAGUGUUCCGCUUACCGGGCAGAUGCCAUGUCCACUAGGCUACUUUGGAC
Molecule: transfer RNA, 75 nt
Filed under: Cordylochernes scorpioides
Lineage: Eukaryota; Metazoa; Arthropoda; Arachnida; Pseudoscorpiones; Chernetidae
Description: tRNA-Thr
Source: RNAcentral